Molecule: ribosomal RNA, 252 nt
Filed under: uncultured prokaryote
Description: partial 16S ribosomal RNA
Rfam family: Bacterial small subunit ribosomal RNA
Source: RNAcentral
ACAGAGGUCCCAAGCGUUGUUCGGAUUUACUGGGCGUAAAGGGUGCGUAGGUGGCGGGGUAAGUCUGGUGUGAAAGCUCCGAGCUUAACUCGGAAAAGCAUUGGAAACUAUCCCGCUGGAGGGUCGGAGGGGAGACUGAAAUUCUCGGUGUAGCAGUGAAAUGCGUAGAUAUCGAGAGGAACACCAGUGGCGAAGGCGAGUCUCUGGACGACUCCUGACACUGAGGCACGAAAGCUGGGGGAGCGAACAGGA